This 666-nucleotide ribosomal RNA is filed under the name Hepatozoon canis. Its description in RNAcentral is "SSU rRNA". It matches the Rfam family "Eukaryotic small subunit ribosomal RNA", at positions 167 to 821 of the family's 1831-position model. The record is from RNAcentral. Lineage: Eukaryota; Apicomplexa; Hepatozoidae.
AUACAUGAGCAAAAUCUCAACUUUAUUAGAAGAGACGCAUUUAUUAGAUAAAAAGCCAAUGCAUGCUUUUACAGUAUGGAAAUUGGUGAUUUAUAAUAACUUAGCAAAUCGCAAAGUGAAAACAGGCGAUAAAUCAUUCAAGUUUCUGACCUAUCAGCUUUCGACGGUAUGGUAUUGGCUUACCGUGGCAGUGACGGUUAACGGGGGAUUAGGGUUCGAUUCCGGAGAGGGAGCCUGAGAAACGGCUACCACAUCUAAGGAAGGCAGCAGGCGCGCAAAUUACCCAAUUCUAACAGUUUGAGAGAGGUAGUAACAAGAAAUAACAAUACAAGGCAAUUAAAAUGCUUUGUAAUUGGAAUGAUAGAAAUUUAAACCCUUUUUAAAGUAUCAAUUGGAGGGCAAGUCUGGUGCCAGCAGCCGCGGUAAUUCCAGCUCCAAUAGCGUAUAUUAAAAUUGUUGCAGUUAAAAAGCUUGUAGUUGAAGUUCUGCUAAAAGUAACCGGUAUGCUUUUAAUAAAAGUGGUAUCUUGGUGUGUAUUUAGCAAUGAUGUCCUUUGAAGUGUUUUUUACUUUAUUGUAAUAAAGCAUAUUCAGGACUUUUACUUUGAGAAAAUUAGAGUGUUUCUAGCAGGCCGACGCUUUGAAUACUGCAGCAUGGAAUAAUAAG